AUCCUUACUCGGCAGGGGAGAGACCAUGAUCACGAAGGUGGUUUUCCCAGGGUGAGGCUUAUCCAUUGCACUCCGGGUGUGCUGACCCCUGGGAUUUCCUGCACGUGGGAACCUAGACAGCGUGAUUUGGGGUAGGGGGACUACCUUAGCCCUCUCCCCU
This is a small nuclear RNA of Molossus molossus (Pallas's mastiff bat), 160 nucleotides long. RefSeq annotates it as U1 spliceosomal RNA. The transcript has a single exon. The record is from RefSeq and is a predicted model, not a curated record. Lineage: Eukaryota; Metazoa; Chordata; Mammalia; Chiroptera; Molossidae.